Molecule: long non-coding RNA, 1011 nt
Organism: Anas platyrhynchos (mallard)
Lineage: Eukaryota; Metazoa; Chordata; Aves; Anseriformes; Anatidae
Source: RefSeq, a predicted model, not a curated record
CAGGUGCAAAGAAAAUAAGAAGUACCUCUACUGAACUAUGAGGAAGUUUUCAUCAACAGCUAAUGCCUAGAGCUCUGCUUUUGAUUUUUCUUUUGCACAUAAAGAAGCAGAAGAUGAUUGACAGUGAGUGCAAAACAGCCAACACAGGGAGUGAGCUUCCUCAAGUCUUCUGCAGCCCAAAAGAUUUCCUCUGGAAGCCUCACUAGGAGAGAGAAGAGAAGCUGUGAGAGGUGUCUUAAAGGAAAAAAUAAUGCAUUUAAGUUCACAUGAGGUCAGUGCUUAUACUAAGUCAAGGACUUUUUAGCUUCUCACACUGCCCUGCCAGCAAGGAGACUAUGGGUGCGCAAGGAGCUGUGAAGGGACAGAACCAGAACAGAGACUCUGCCCCAGAGACUCACCGGGUCACUGGUUCCCAGGAUCCGCUGCAGAGCCCUCUGAAUAGGUGUGGCGUAUAUUGGCACCCCUCCACUCUGUUGCAGGGGUCAUCAGUAGUGCCUGGCUGGACACCUUGACCGGCAGUUCUGCUGUUUUGUGUGUGGAGCCCUUUGGGACUCUUUGGUGAUGCCAUCUGUCUUGGUGACUUACUCUUGGCUCACUGACAUCUUCCUGAUCUAACACUUCCCAAACAUCCUAUUCUGAUGUGUCUGCUACAAAGACUGGGGAAGCUCACACGCGUCUUUAAUUCCAGGUGAUCUGUAAAUGUAUUUUUAGCGUAUUUAUUUCCUGUUUCCUUUUGACCAAGCAUACUUUUGUGGAUUUUUUUAUUGACGUUGAUGAAACUAUGUUUUUAAAUGCCAGAUUUAGGAAGGUGAUACCUGAUCAGUCCAAGAACUUCAUGCUUUUUACUGUUGUGUUUUUCUUUUUUGCUUAGUUUUGAAAUAAAGCACAAGAUAUGAGCUCAUAUAAAGAUAUGGCUUAUUUUUUUUGUGUUUUGUUUCGUGGAGGAUUGUUGGGUUCUCUUUAACCUCUAGACUACAUCCAAAUGGGUUCUUUUGGAUUUUUUUGCUUUGU